RNAcentral lists this ribosomal RNA (774 nucleotides) under uncultured Neocallimastigales. RNAcentral describes it as "partial large subunit ribosomal RNA". It matches the Rfam family "Eukaryotic large subunit ribosomal RNA", at positions 22 to 621 of the family's 3401-position model. Lineage: Eukaryota; Fungi; Neocallimastigomycota; Neocallimastigomycetes; Neocallimastigales. The record is from RNAcentral.
AUAUCAGUCAUGCAUAGCAUAUCAAUAAGCGGAGGAAAAGAAACUAACAAGGAUUCCCUUAGUAACGGCGAGUGAAGCGGGAAGAGCUCAAAUUUGAAAUCUUCAAGGUUUUACCUUGACGAAUUGUAGUUUAAAGAAGUGUUUUCUGUUGAAGUUUUGGUAAAAGUUCUUUGGAAUAGGACAUCAUAGAGGGUGAGAAUCCCGUAUUUGACCAUUACUUUCAGCUUUGUGAUACACUUUCAAAGAGUCGGAUUGUUUGGGAAUGCAGUCCAAAAUGGGUGGUAAAUUUCAUCUAAAGCUAAAUAUUGGCGAGAGACCGAUAGCGAACAAGUACCGUGAGGGAAAGAUGAAAAGAACUUUGAAAAGAGAGUUAAACAGUACGUGAAAUUGUCAAAAGGGAAGCGUUUGACACCAGUGUUGUUUUCUCGAAAAUCAAUUAAAAAGAGUUGGAUUUUGUGUUGUAUUGACUUUAUCGGCUUUCCUCACUCUUUUCCAGCUUUUUUUAAUGCACUUUUCGUUUAACAAGUCAACAUCAGUUUCUUUUGUUGUAAAAAGGUCAUUGGAAGGUGGCUUUCUCUUCGGAGAAAGUGUUUAUAGCCUUUGACUCAUGCAAUCGGAGAGACUGAGGUCUGCAGCGUAGAUCCUUCGGGGUUAGAUACAUUUGUGCUAAGUUAUAGCUUUUCAUAGACAACUUGUUGACUAUGUUUAGUCUUGUAGCUUACUCGCUUAUGCUACUUUACCUACGCUUAGGAUGUUGAACUCUAUCACACACAG